This is a long non-coding RNA of Pseudophryne corroboree (corroboree frog), 569 nucleotides long. RefSeq lists it as uncharacterized. Lineage: Eukaryota; Metazoa; Chordata; Amphibia; Anura; Myobatrachidae. The transcript is spliced from 4 exons. The record is from RefSeq and is a predicted model, not a curated record.
AUAUAAUUAGCCUUUAUUUGUGCACCAAUCAAAAUAGGAUAUGUGAUGGCAUCAUCACCUUUCCCUUUAUAAGGGGUAACAUUUAGUCUGGUGCUUCAUUGCACAGGUACUGAGCGUCCACUGCAGAUAUAUAGAAGGUUUCCUUUCUAAGUGACCCUUCAGUACCUUGUUUUCCGAAUUUUUGUACAAGUUAUCUCACCACAAGGCCACACUGAUUGUUCAUCAGAAAGCCUCGGUGUUAUAUUGAAGUUUCCAUCAUGCAUGUAUGAACAAGUUUUGUCGCAUUAUACUGUUUGUAUAAACUACUGUACUUCUCAGCUGCUUGAGAGAUACCCCUGAUGAAGUCUUUUGUAUAAGACGAAACGCAUUGGGUUGUCUGUGUUGUGAAGCGAUCUCCGAACCAACUACAGGUUAAGUAUCCCAUAUCCAAAUAUCCGAAAUACGGAAUAUUCCGAAAUAUGGACUUUUUUGAGCGAGAGUGAGAUAGUGAAACUUUUGUUUUCUUAUGGCUCAAUGUACACAAACUUUGUUUAAUACACACAGUUAUUAAAAAUAUUGUAUUAAAUGAC